GCUCCGCCGUGCUCCGGCGACGCCGCUUGCAGCGGUGAUUCGCCUCGGGUUGGUCGUUUUCGGCCGUUUUCGACCAAAUUCGGCCACACUUGCAUCGGUCCCUGCUAUAAAACAACCCUAGGACCCUCGGGGGGCCAAAAAAUUACGAAAAACUGAAGCUUACCGGCGGCGAUGCUCUCGGGUGCGGCGGCUCUUCGGCGAGGUUCGUGUUUUGGUGAUUUGGCUCUGAUC
This 231-nucleotide long non-coding RNA is filed under the name Carica papaya (papaya). RNAcentral describes it as "long non-coding RNA (CPAP_LNC007229)". Lineage: Eukaryota; Viridiplantae; Streptophyta; Magnoliopsida; Brassicales; Caricaceae. The record is from RNAcentral.